RNAcentral lists this ribosomal RNA (453 nucleotides) under Streptococcus sp. oral taxon 064. Its description in RNAcentral is "bacterial SSU rRNA". It matches the Rfam family "Bacterial small subunit ribosomal RNA", at positions 28 to 467 of the family's 1533-position model. Lineage: Bacteria; Bacillati; Bacillota; Bacilli; Lactobacillales; Streptococcaceae. The record is from RNAcentral.
GACGAACGCCGGCGGCGUGCCUAAUACAUGCAAGUAGAACGCUGAAGGAGGAGCUUGCUCUUCUGGAUGAGUUGCGAACGGGUGAGUAACGCGUAGGUAACCUGCCUGGUAGCGGGGGAUAACUAUUGGAAACGAUAGCUAAUACCGCAUAAGAGUAGAUGUUGCAUGACAUUUGCUUAAAAGGUGCAAUUGCAUCACUACCAGAUGGACCUGCGUUGUAUUAGCUAGUUGGUGGGGUAACGGCUCACCAAGGCGACGAUACAUAGCCGACCUGAGAGGGUGAUCGGCCACACUGGGACUGAGACACGGCCCAGACUCCUACGGGAGGCAGCAGUAGGGAAUCUUCGGCAAUGGACGGAAGUCUGACCGAGCAACGCCGCGUGAGUGAAGAAGGUUUUCGGAUCGUAAAGCUCUGUUGUAAGAGAAGAAACGAGUGUGAGAAGUGGAAAAGUU